GGUUAAGCGACUAAGCGUACACGGUGGAUGCCCUGGCAGUCAGAGGCGAUGAAGGACGUGCUAAUCUGCGAAAAGCGUCGGUAAGGUGAUAUGAACCGUUAUAACCGGCGAUGUCCGAAUGGGGAAACCCAGUGCAAUUCGUUGCACUAUCGUUAACUGAAUACAUAGGUUAACGAGGCGAACCGGGGGAACUGAAACAUCUAAGUACCCCGAGGAAAAGAAAUCAACCGAGAUUCCCCCAGUAGCGGCGAGCGAACGGGGAGCAGCCCAGAGUCUGAAUCAGCUUGUGUGUUAGUGGAACGGUCUGGAAAGUCCGACGGUACAGGGUGAUAGUCCCGUACACCAAAAUGCACAGGCUGUGAACUCGAAGAGUAGGGCGGGACACGUGGUAUCCUGUCUGAAUAUGGGGGGA
Molecule: ribosomal RNA, 412 nt
Filed under: Klebsiella pneumoniae
Lineage: Bacteria; Pseudomonadati; Pseudomonadota; Gammaproteobacteria; Enterobacterales; Enterobacteriaceae
Also listed under: 9 other names
Description: partial 23S ribosomal RNA
Rfam family: Bacterial large subunit ribosomal RNA
Source: RNAcentral